RNAcentral lists this ribosomal RNA (778 nucleotides) under uncultured Neocallimastigales. Its description in RNAcentral is "partial large subunit ribosomal RNA". It matches the Rfam family "Eukaryotic large subunit ribosomal RNA", at positions 26 to 650 of the family's 3401-position model. Lineage: Eukaryota; Fungi; Neocallimastigomycota; Neocallimastigomycetes; Neocallimastigales. The record is from RNAcentral.
CGCAUCUGUGCAUGCAGCAUAUCAAUAAGCGGAGGAAAAGUAACUAACAAGGAUUCCCCUAGUAACGGCGAGUGAAGCGGGAAGAGCUCAAAUUUGAAAUCUUAAAGGGUUUCCCUUUACGAAUUGUAGUUUAAAGAAGUGUUUUCUGUUGAGGUUUUGGUAAAAGUUCUUUGGAAUAGGACAUCAUAGAGGGUGAGAAUCCCGUAUUUGACCUUUACUUUCAACUUUGUGAUACACUUUCAAAGAGUCGGAUUGUUUGGGAAUGCAGUCCAAAAUGGGUGGUAAAUUUCAUCUAAAGCUAAAUAUUGGCGAGAGACCGAUAGCGAACAAGUACCGUGAGGGAAAGAUGAAAAGAACUUUGAAAAGAGAGUUAAACAGUACGUGAAAUUGUCAAAAGGGAAGCGUUUGACAUCCAGUGUUGUUUUUCUGAAAAUCAAUUAAAGAACUGUUUAUGCUAAGUUGUUUAGACUUUAUCAGCUAACUGUUUAGUUUUGAGCUUUUCUUUAAUGCACUUUUCAGUUAACAAGUCAACAUCAAUUUCUUUUGCUGUAAAAAAGCUUGAGGAAGGUGGCUUGAGAUUCGUCUUAGGUGUUUAUAGCCUCUUGCCUAUGCAGUCGGAGAGAUUGAGGUCUGCAGCGUAGAUCCUUCGGGGCUAAAUGCAUUUGUGCUAAGUUAUAAGCAUUUUAUAGACAACUUGUUGACCUAUGAUUUGUCUUGUAGCUUACUCGCUUAUGUUAUUUUACCUACGCUUAGGAUGUUGAAACGCGCACAGAGUCUC